Long non-coding RNA from Oxyura jamaicensis (ruddy duck), 262 nucleotides. RefSeq lists it as uncharacterized. The record is from RefSeq and is a predicted model, not a curated record. NCBI's taxonomy places the organism in Eukaryota, Metazoa, Chordata, Aves, Anseriformes, Anatidae. The transcript is spliced from 2 exons.
UUGAGCCAGCCAGAGGUCUAAUUCCAACAAAGAAGUAACGAUUUCCCUUCUGCGUUUCAUUUUAAGCUCGCUGCGUUUUUAGGUUACUGGUCUCGCAGGGAAUGCUCCACACAGAUACCCGAUACCGAGCUCCUUUUAUUUAAUACAGUGAAACUGCAACUGGGCUGGGAGAGAUGACGAGUUCCUUACCAAGAAUGUCAAAGAGGUGCUUCUAGGACUUUAACAAAAGGCAACUUUAACAAAGCAAGAGGAACCAACAUUU